This 253-nucleotide ribosomal RNA is filed under the name uncultured bacterium. RNAcentral describes it as "partial 16S ribosomal RNA". It matches the Rfam family "Bacterial small subunit ribosomal RNA", at positions 524 to 776 of the family's 1533-position model. The record is from RNAcentral.
UACGAAGGUGGCAAGCGUUGUUCGGAUUUACUGGGCGUACAGGGAGCGUAGGCGGUUGGAUAAGCCCUCCGUGAAAUCUCCAGGCUUAACCUGGAAAGUGCAGAGGGGACUGUUCAGCUAGAGGAUGGGAGAGGAGCGCGGAAUUCCCGGUGUAGCGGUGGAAUGCGUAGAGAUCGGGAAGAACAUCGGUGGGGAAGGCGGCCUGCUGGGCUCUUGCUGACACUGAGGCGCGACAGCGUGGGGAGCAAACAGG